Molecule: ribosomal RNA, 253 nt
Filed under: uncultured bacterium
Lineage: Bacteria
Description: partial 16S ribosomal RNA
Rfam family: Bacterial small subunit ribosomal RNA
Source: RNAcentral
UACGGAGGAUCCAAGCGUUAUCCGGAUUCAUUGGGUUUAAAGGGUGCGUAGGCGGAAUGAUAAGUCAGUGGUGAAAGCCUGUUGCUUAACAACAGGACUGCCAUUGAUACUGUCAAUCUUGAGUACAUUUGAUGUGGGCGGAAUGUGUCAUGUAGCGGUGAAAUGCUUAGAUAUGACACAGAACACCGAUUGCGAAGGCAGCUCACAAAACUGUAACUGACGCUGAGGCACGAAAGCAAGGGGAUCAAACAGG